This 1148-nucleotide ribosomal RNA is filed under the name Salmonella enterica. RNAcentral describes it as "bacterial SSU rRNA". It matches the Rfam family "Bacterial small subunit ribosomal RNA", at positions 1 to 1143 of the family's 1533-position model. Lineage: Bacteria; Pseudomonadati; Pseudomonadota; Gammaproteobacteria; Enterobacterales; Enterobacteriaceae. The record is from RNAcentral.
UGAAGAGUUUGAUCAUGGCUCAGAUUGAACGCUGGCGGCAGGCCUAACACAUGCAAGUCGAACGGUAACAGGAAGCAGCUUGCUGCUUUGCUGACGAGUGGCGGACGGGUGAGUAAUGUCUGGGAAACUGCCUGAUGGAGGGGGAUAACUACUGGAAACGGUGGCUAAUACCGCAUAACGUCGCAAGACCAAAGAGGGGGACCUUCGGGCCUCUUGCCAUCAGAUGUGCCCAGAUGGGAUUAGCUUGUUGGUGAGGUAACGGCUCACCAAGGCGACGAUCCCUAGCUGGUCUGAGAGGAUGACCAGCCACACUGGAACUGAGACACGGUCCAGACUCCUACGGGAGGCAGCAGUGGGGAAUAUUGCACAAUGGGCGCAAGCCUGAUGCAGCCAUGCCGCGUGUAUGAAGAAGGCCUUCGGGUUGUAAAGUACUUUCAGCGGGGAGGAAGGUGUUGUGGUUAAUAACCGCAGCAAUUGACGUUACCCGCAGAAGAAGCACCGGCUAACUCCGUGCCAGCAGCCGCGGUAAUACGGAGGGUGCAAGCGUUAAUCGGAAUUACUGGGCGUAAAGCGCACGCAGGCGGUCUGUCAAGUCGGAUGUGAAAUCCCCGGGCUCAACCUGGGAACUGCAUUCGAAACUGGCAGGCUUGAGUCUUGUAGAGGGGGGUAGAAUUCCAGGUGUAGCGGUGAAAUGCGUAGAGAUCUGGAGGAAUACCGGUGGCGAAGGCGGCCCCCUGGACAAAGACUGACGCUCAGGUGCGAAAGCGUGGGGAGCAAACAGGAUUAGAUACCCUGGUAGUCCACGCCGUAAACGAUGUCUACUUGGAGGUUGUGCCCUUGAGGCGUGGCUUCCGGAGCUAACGCGUUAAGUAGACCGCCUGGGGAGUACGGCCGCAAGGUUAAAACUCAAAUGAAUUGACGGGGGCCCGCACAAGCGGUGGAGCAUGUGGUUUAAUUCGAUGCAACGCGAAGAACCUUACCUGGUCUUGACAUCCACAGAACUUUCCAGAGAUGGAUUGGUGCCUUCGGGAACUGUGAGACAGGUGCUGCAUGGCUGUCGUCAGCUCGUGUUGUGAAAUGUUGGGUUAAGUCCCGCAACGAGCGCAACCCUUAUCCUUUGUUGCCAGCGAUUAGGUCGGGAACUCAAA